This 490-nucleotide ribosomal RNA is filed under the name uncultured bacterium. RNAcentral describes it as "partial 16S ribosomal RNA". It matches the Rfam family "Bacterial small subunit ribosomal RNA", at positions 28 to 507 of the family's 1533-position model. The record is from RNAcentral.
GAUGAACGCUAGCUACAGGCUUAACACAUGCAAGUCGAGGGGCAGCAUGGUCUUAGCUUGCUAAGGCCGAUGGCGACCGGCGCACGGGUGAGUAACACGUAUCCAACCUGCCGUCUACUCUUGGACAGCCUUCUGAAAGGAAGAUUAAUACAAGAUGGCAUCAUGAGUCCGCAUGUUCACAUGAUUAAAGGUAUUCCGGUAGACGAUGGGGAUGCGUUCCAUUAGAUAGUAGGCUGGGUAACGGCCCACCUAGUCUUCGAUGGAUAGGGGUUCUGAGAGGAAGGUCCCCCACAGUGGAACUGAGAAACGGGCCAAACUCCUACGGGAGGCAGCAGUGAGGAAUAUUGGUCAAUGGGCGAGAGCCUGAACCAGCCAAGUAGCGUGAAGGAAGACUGCCCUAUGGGUUGUAAACUUCUUUUAGAAAGGAAUAAAGUCGGGUAUGGAUACCCGUUUGCAUGUACUUUAUGAAUAAGGAUCGGCUAACUACGUG